UUUGGCAGAGAUAGUGCAAUAGAUCCACCUGAUACCAUACCGAACUCAGAAGUGAAAUGUUGUAACGCU
This 69-nucleotide ribosomal RNA is filed under the name Haemophilus influenzae. Lineage: Bacteria; Pseudomonadati; Pseudomonadota; Gammaproteobacteria; Pasteurellales; Pasteurellaceae. The record is from RNAcentral.